Molecule: transfer RNA, 69 nt
Filed under: Tamandua mexicana (Mexican collared anteater)
Lineage: Eukaryota; Metazoa; Chordata; Mammalia; Pilosa; Myrmecophagidae
Also listed under: 1 other name
Description: tRNA-Ile
Source: RNAcentral
AGAAAUAUGUCCGACAAAGGAAUUACUUUGAUAGAGUAAAACAUAGAGGUCACAGCCCUCUUAUUUCUA